This 758-nucleotide ribosomal RNA is filed under the name bacterium. Its description in RNAcentral is "bacterial SSU rRNA". It matches the Rfam family "Bacterial small subunit ribosomal RNA", at positions 36 to 777 of the family's 1533-position model. The record is from RNAcentral.
CCAACACGGCCGGCUAUCAUGCAAGUCGAGCGAACGGAUAAGGAGCUUGCUCCUUUGAAGUUAGCGGCGGACGGGUGAGUAACACGUGGGUAACCUACCUAUAAGACUGGAAUAACUUCGGGAAACCGGAGCUAAUGCCGGAUAACAUUUGGAACCGCAUGGUUCUAAAGUAAAAGAUGGUUUUGCUAUCACUUAUAGAUGGACCCGCGCCGUAUUAGCUAGUUGGUAAGGUAACGGCUUACCAAGGCAACGAUACGUAGCCGACCUGAGAGGGUGAUCGGCCACACUGGAACUGAGACACGGUCCAGACUCCUACGGGAGGCAGCAGUAGGGAAUCUUCCGCAAUGGACGAAAGUCUGACGGAGCAACGCCGCGUGAGUGAUGAAGGUUUUCGGAUCGUAAAACUCUGUUAUUAGGGAAGAACAAAUGUGUAAGUAACUGUGCACAUCUUGACGGUACCUAAUCAGAAAGCCACGGCUAACUACGUGCCAGCAGCCGCGGUAAUACGUAGGUGGCAAGCGUUAUCCGGAAUUAUUGGGCGUAAAGCGCGCGUAGGCGGUUUCUUAAGUCUGAUGUGAAAGCCCACGGCUCAACCGUGGAGGGUCAUUGGAAACUGGGAAACUUGAGUACAGAAGAGGAAAGUGGAAUUCCAUGUGUAGCGGUGAAAUGCGCAGAGAUAUGGAGGAACACCAGUGGCGAAGGCGACUUUCUGGUCUGUAACUGACGCUGAUGUGCGAAAGCGUGGGGAUCAAACAGGA